Molecule: transfer RNA, 76 nt
Filed under: Christensenellaceae bacterium
Lineage: Bacteria; Bacillati; Bacillota; Clostridia; Christensenellales; Christensenellaceae
Also listed under: 1 other name
Description: tRNA-Lys
Rfam family: tRNA
About the family: Transfer RNA (tRNA) molecules are approximately 80 nucleotides in length.
Source: RNAcentral
GACUCGCUAGCUCAGUUGGUAGAGCAUUUGACUUUUAAUCAAAGGGUCCGGGGUUCGAAUCCCCGGCGGGUCACCA